GAUGAACGCUGGCGGCGUGCUUAACACAUGCAAGUCGAACGAAGUCCAUGGAGCUUGCUCCGGAAGACUUAGUGGCGAACGGGUGCGUAACACGUGAGAAACCUGCCCUGGACUUUGGGAUAACAGUUGGAAACGACUGCUAAUACCGAAUAUCACCAUCACCUCGCAUGGGGAGAUGAUGAAAGGUCCGCCGGUCCAGGAGGGUCUCGCGGCCUAUCAGCUUGUUGGAGAGGUAACGGCUCACCAAGGCAUCGACGGGUAGCUGGUCUGAGAGGAUGAUCAGCCACACUGGGACUGAGACACGGCCCAGACUCCUACGGGAGGCAGCAGUGGGGAAUCUUGCACAAUGGGCGCAAGCCUGAUGCAGCAACGCCGCGUGCGGGAAGAAGGCCCUAGGGUUGUAAACCGCUUUCAGUAGGGAAGAAAAUGACGGUACCUACAGAAGAAGGUGCGGCCAACUACGUGCCAGCAGCCGCGGUGACACGUAGGCACCAAGCGUUAUCCGGAUUUAUUGGGCGUAAAGAGCUCGUAGGCGGUUCAGUCAGUCGGGUGUGAAAACUUGAGGCUUAACCUCGAGAGGCCACCCGAUACUACUGUGACUAGAG
This 605-nucleotide ribosomal RNA is filed under the name uncultured bacterium. RNAcentral describes it as "bacterial SSU rRNA". It matches the Rfam family "Bacterial small subunit ribosomal RNA", at positions 28 to 646 of the family's 1533-position model. The record is from RNAcentral.